UGGCGCAGUUGGUAGAGCAUGGUGUUUGCAACGCCAGGGUUGUGGGUUCGAUUCCCAU
RNAcentral lists this transfer RNA (58 nucleotides) under Salmo salar (Atlantic salmon). It matches the Rfam family "tRNA", at positions 8 to 63 of the family's 71-position model. From Rfam's summary of the family: Transfer RNA (tRNA) molecules are approximately 80 nucleotides in length. Their secondary structure includes four short double-helical elements and three loops (D, anti-codon, and T loops). Further hydrogen bonds mediate the characteristic L-shaped molecular structure. tRNAs have two regions of fundamental functional importance: the anti-codon, which is responsible for specific mRNA codon recognition, and the 3' end, to which the tRNAs corresponding amino acid is attached (by aminoacyl-tRNA synthetases). tRNAs cope with the degeneracy of the genetic code in two manners: having more than one tRNA (with a specific anti-codon) for a particular amino acid; and 'wobble' base-pairing, i.e. permitting non-standard base-pairing at the 3rd anti-codon position. The record is from Rfam by way of RNAcentral. RNAcentral also lists the same sequence under 1 other name. Lineage: Eukaryota; Metazoa; Chordata; Actinopteri; Salmoniformes; Salmonidae.